GUGUCAGCAGCCGCGGUAAUACGUAGGCAGCAAGCGUUGUUCGGAGUUACUGGGCGUAAAGGGUGUGUAGGCGGUUCUCUAAGUUUGGUGUGAAAUCUCCCGGCUCAACUGGGAGGGUGCGCCGAAAACUGGGGGGCUAGAGUACUGGAUGGGAGAGUGGAAUUCCUGGUGUAGCGGUGAAAUGCGUAGAUAUCAGGAGGAACACCUGUGGUGUAGACGGCUCUCUGGACAGUAACUGACGCUGAGACACGAAAGCGUGGGUAGCAAACAGGAUUAGAAACCCCCGUAGUCC
This 292-nucleotide ribosomal RNA is filed under the name uncultured bacterium. RNAcentral's name for it is "partial 16S ribosomal RNA". It matches the Rfam family "Bacterial small subunit ribosomal RNA", at positions 505 to 796 of the family's 1533-position model. The record is from RNAcentral.